AGGAGAGAGAGAGAGAGAGAGAGAGAGCAGGCCUCAUAAACCCUACAGGUAAUCCCCCUAUGACUCCAUUCUUUCAAACACAUCUCUCUCUCUCUCUCUGCUCCCUCAGUUGUUGAUUUUCUCUGUUCGUUCCUCAUCAACCGCCAAAUCUAAGCAAAUUUUGAGCUCUUCCUCCAUCUCCAAAUUGAGUUACCUCUCUCUCUCUCUCUCACGCACGCGCGCGCGCGCGCACACGGUCACUCGUAGCUGGAGUCUACAGCGGUUUUUGUGAUCCCAGCUGCCAGUGUUGAUGAAAAGCUUUAUGUUUAGGUAUUCACAUCCAAGCGAAUUGAUAAGGUCCAGGGAAGCUUUCCCAAAUUGAGAUGCUAAUACCGAUGUUAUUGGGAUUUAGAGGUGUUUGGUUUUGGGAGGCAUUGAAGAACAGUCUAUGCUCUAUAGUGACAUAUUGAACUUGGCCAUUUUGAAGGAGGAGCUUACAUUUCCAUUUUUACUUACAAGUUUUUGAAAAUAAGAGGUGGAGGACUGGAAUAUUUUGAAGAUUCUAAUAAAGUUUUGCAUUGUCUCACUGUCAAAUGUCAGAAGGUACUAUGGCAGUAGUUAAACCUGAGAUGAAGUCUUACAUCUGGCUCCAAACUGCCGAUGGUUCAAUUCAACAAGUAGAAGAAGAAGUUGCCAUGUUUUGCCCCAUGAUAUGCCGGGAAAUACUUCAAACAGGCAUGGGAUCGUCCAAAAAUUAUGCGAUAUCUCUUCCGCAACGAGUCAAUGCUGCCAUCUUGGGUUUAAUACUUGACUACUGUCGAUUUCAUCAAGUACCCGGUCGCUCGAAUAAGGAGCGUAAGUCUUUUGAUGAGAAGUUUGUUCGGAUGGAUACAAAAAGGUUAUUUGAGUUGACAUCUGCUGCUAACAGCCUCCAAUUGAAGCCUCUGGUUGAUCUUACCAGCCGUGCACUUGCUCGAAUUAUUGAAGGGAAAAGUCCUGAGGAAAUACGCGAGACCUUCCAUUUACCUGAUGACCUAACUGAGGAGGAGAAGUUGGAGCCUUUGAAAAAUUUUACUGAUGAUCCACGCAUCCGCCUUUUGAACCGAUUGUAUGCAAGAAAGAGAAAAGAAUUAAAAGAGAGGGAAAAAUUGAAGAAUGUUGAGGUUGAAGAGGAGCGUGUAGACAAUCGCUCAGUUGAUGAUCUCUUGUCAUUUAUAAAUGGGGGAGAUGGAGAUUCAAAGGGGGUUAGAGCUAAUAAAAAUAAAAAGAAGAACAGACGAAGAAAGGAUCAAGUGGAGGAGUCUUCAAGCAGUACUAAUGGAAACCAUAAGAAGGAUUUGGAUGUCCUCUCUGCUAGUGAUGAGCUUGAAAACCUCAGGGUGAUUAGUCCCAUUAAAUCCUCUAAGUUGCAGGAUUCUGAAGGCAUGGCCUUUUCACCUAAGCUUGAGUUUGAUGAUGGUGACAUUGAUGAUGAUGAUCUGGAUCCAGCACUGAGGGAAGAACUUGACAGAGAAGUGGAGGAUUUUGCUCGGAGACUUAAUUCGGUUUGGCCAGAACGUACGCAAAUUCUAUCAAUGGGCCAAGGAAGAAGGCUUGUACCAUUAUCUAUGAAUGGCAAUGGUUCCUUGCAUAGAUAUACAAGUUUGGACCAGAGAUAAUAAUCCAACAACAGUAUGACCGAUUUCUCGUGGUGGCCAGCCUGCUUCAGUGGUUUCAAGAACAUCAUGAACACAGGGUUUGGUGCUGUUGGACCUUUGAGAAGAUGCAGUGUUUUUUCAAAGACUGCAUCCAUUAUUGCUUUGGGGGAAUGUACAUGAAUUUGAGUUGUGGAAAGUGGAAACCCCAGAAGGUGAUUACAGUGGGUUGGGUUUGCUUCGCACAGUGAACUUGAGCUUUGAAUUGUGUAAAAUCAAACUCCCUCAUGCUUUGGAAUUGAACUCCACAAAGCUCCCCAAAUUGGGUUUCAUUUGAAAUAUUUUUGCUCUUUUAAAAAGAAAAAAAAAAAAAAAAACCCUGCUAUUUUUGUUUUUCAUUGAAGAAAUUAAAUAAUAUUCACCCUUUGGGGAGAGGCUGAGUUUGAAUUCA
Malania oleifera is the source of this 2064-nucleotide RNA transcript. It is a transcript of the gene named SKP1-like protein 21, with no coding region annotated. The transcript has 11 exons. NCBI's taxonomy places the organism in Eukaryota, Viridiplantae, Streptophyta, Magnoliopsida, Santalales, Ximeniaceae. The record is from RefSeq and is a predicted model, not a curated record.